AAAUUGAAGAGUUUGAUCAUGGCUCAGAUUGAACGCUGGCGGCAGGCCUAACACAUGCAAGUCGAACGGUAACAGGAAGCAGCUUGCUGCUUCGCUGACGAGUGGCGGACGGGUGAGUAAUGUCUGGGAAACUGCCUGAUGGAGGGGGAUAACUACUGGAAACGGUGGCUAAUACCGCAUAACGUCGCAAGACCAAAGAGGGGGACCUUCGGGCCUCUUGCCAUCAGAUGUGCCCAGAUGGGAUUAGCUUGUUGGUGAGGUAACGGCUCACCAAGGCGACGAUCCCUAGCUGGUCUGAGAGGAUGACCAGCCACACUGGAACUGAGACACGGUCCAGACUCCUACGGGAGGCAGCAGUGGGGAAUAUUGCACAAUGGGCGCAAGCCUGAUGCAGCCAUGCCGCGUGUAUGAAGAAGGCCUUCGGGUUGUAAAGUACUUUCAGCGGGGAGGAAGGUGUUGCGGUUAAUAACCGCAGCAAUUGACGUUACCCGCAGAAGAAGCACCGGCUAACUCCGUGCCAGCAGCCGCGGUAAUACGGAGGGUGC
Molecule: ribosomal RNA, 545 nt
Filed under: Salmonella enterica subsp. enterica serovar Infantis
Lineage: Bacteria; Pseudomonadati; Pseudomonadota; Gammaproteobacteria; Enterobacterales; Enterobacteriaceae
Also listed under: 1 other name
Description: bacterial SSU rRNA
Rfam family: Bacterial small subunit ribosomal RNA
Source: RNAcentral